RNAcentral lists this ribosomal RNA (324 nucleotides) under uncultured eukaryote. RNAcentral describes it as "partial 18S ribosomal RNA". It matches the Rfam family "Eukaryotic small subunit ribosomal RNA", at positions 1470 to 1796 of the family's 1831-position model. The record is from RNAcentral.
CCCUUAGAUGUUCUGGGCCGCACGCGCGCUACACUGAUACGUUCAACGAGCUCCUUGACCGAGAGGCCCGGGUAAUCUUUGAAACCGUAUCGUGAUGGGGAUAGAACAUUGCAAUUAUUGUUCUUCAACGAGGAACGCCUAGUAAGCGCGAGUCAUCAUCUCGCGUUGAUUACGUCCCUGCCCUUUGUACACACCGCCCGUCGUUCCUACCGAUUGAACGUGCUGGUGAAGCGUUAGGACUGGAGGUCUUGGGCCGGUUCGCCUGCCCAUAGCUUCGGGAAUUUCGUUGAACCCUCCCGUUUAGAGGAAGGAGAAGUCGUAACA